AGAGUUUGAUCAUGGCUCAGAGCGAACGCUGGCGGCAGGCCUAACACAUGCAAGUCGAGCGGCCGUAGCAAUACGGCAGCGGCAGACGGGAGAGUAACACGUGGGAACGCGCCCUUCGGUUCGGGAUAACCCAGGGAAACUUGGGCUAAUACCGGAUACGCCCUUACGGGGAAAGAUUUAUUGCCGAAGGAACGGCCCGCGUCCGAUUAGCUAGUUGGUGAGGUAAUGGCUCACCAAGGCGACGAUCGGUAGCUGGUCUGAGAGGAUGACCAGCCUCACUGGGACUGAGACACGGCCCAGACUCCUACGGGAGGCAGCAGUGGGGAAUAUUGGACAAUGGGCGCAAGCCUGAUCCAGCCAUGCCGCGUGGGUGAUGAAGGCCCUAGGGUUGUAAAGCCCUUUCAGCGGGGAAGAUAAUGACGGUACCCGCAGAAGAAGCCCCGGCUAACUUCGUGCCAGCAGCCGCGGUAAUACGAAGGGGGCUAGCGUUGCUCGGAAUUACUGGGCGUAAAGCGCACGUAGGCGGCUUUCUAAGUCGGGGGUGAAAUCCUGGAGCUCAACUCCAGAACUGCCUUCGAUACUGGAGAGCUCGAGUCCGGGAGAGGUGAGUGGAACUGCGAGUGUAGAGGUGAAAUUCGUAGAUAUUCGCAAGAACACCAGUGGCGAAGGCGGCUCACUGGCCCGGUACUGACGCUGAGGUGCGAAAGCGUGGGGAGCAAACAGGAUUGGAUACCCUGGUAGUCCACGCCGUAAACGAUGGAUGCUAGCCGUUGGCGAGCUUGCUCGUCAGUGGCGCAGCUAACGCUUUAAGCAUCCCGCCUGGGGAGUACGGUCGCAAGAUUAAAACUCAAAGGAAUUGACGGGGCCCGCACAAGCGGUGGAGCAUGUGGUUCAAUUCGAAGCAACGCGCAGAACCUUACCAGCCCUUGACAUGUCCUCUAU
RNAcentral lists this ribosomal RNA (942 nucleotides) under uncultured bacterium. RNAcentral's name for it is "bacterial SSU rRNA". It matches the Rfam family "Bacterial small subunit ribosomal RNA", at positions 8 to 996 of the family's 1533-position model. The record is from RNAcentral.